GAUUUUGUAGCUCAAUUGGCAGAGCAAUUGGAUACUACCCAGGAGGCUGAAGGUUCGAACCCUUCCAAAAUCA
Molecule: transfer RNA, 73 nt
Filed under: Flavobacterium cheongpyeongense
Lineage: Bacteria; Pseudomonadati; Bacteroidota; Flavobacteriia; Flavobacteriales; Flavobacteriaceae
Rfam family: tRNA
About the family: Transfer RNA (tRNA) molecules are approximately 80 nucleotides in length. Their secondary structure includes four short double-helical elements and three loops (D, anti-codon, and T loops). Further hydrogen bonds mediate the characteristic L-shaped molecular structure. tRNAs have two regions of fundamental functional importance: the anti-codon, which is responsible for specific mRNA codon recognition, and the 3' end, to which the tRNAs corresponding amino acid is attached (by aminoacyl-tRNA synthetases). tRNAs cope with the degeneracy of the genetic code in two manners: having more than one tRNA (with a specific anti-codon) for a particular amino acid; and 'wobble' base-pairing, i.e. permitting non-standard base-pairing at the 3rd anti-codon position.
Source: Rfam by way of RNAcentral